GGCACACAAUAAUAAUUUAACAAAACAAUUGUAAUUAUUACUGAUAACAUACACUAAGAUAUAUCAGAAUUAUAGGAGUCUCCCAUAACUUUGGAACACAUACCAGUAACAUAUUUGCACAAAUAUAGCCCAAAGAAAGCCAAACACCAUUUUAUAUUUGACAAUGCUUCCUGUAUAAUUUUCAUACCAAAUAAGCCAAACUUCACCUUUACAUUAGUGUACUAUGAAUGUUAAACCCAAUUCUUAAUAAAUCCUCAUAGACAUAUUUACCCAAUUUUAAUGUUUGACCAUAAGGUAAGAUUUUAUAGACUUUUUAUAACCCUUUACAAUUUUUGUUAAAGAGCAAGUUAGUGCUCUAAGAGAAACCCAUUGUGCUUUUAUUUCAAUGCUCAAUUUACAGAAAAACUGGAUGAUUCCCUUUUAACUUUAGCCAAUAUUUUACACACAGAAUUUCCUCUACAAUUAACCUUCCACAGCUUGCUUAAACCUUUAUCUUUAUUGUAUCCAACUUAAAACAAUCCUUUAACCUUUUAAUCGAGGCAAAAAUCCACAUUCUCAUGCCUCCUUAUAAUCUUUUACCAAAAGUAUAUUUUACUUUCCUUACACACCUUGUAUGUAAACUGUUUCUUCAAUAGUCUUAAAAUACAUGUUACACUGUUAACUCUUAGCAACCUUUACUUUUGGUGAAAACCUUGGUAAGUUUGGGAUUUUAGCUGUGUACUAGGUGUGGAGGCUAGGACCUAGACAGAAGUGCAAAUAAGGUCUGACUUAUUCCAGCAUCUAACUCCAUGUGUCCCAGGCCUUACCUAGCUGUAAAGCAGGCAAGUUGUACAGCUAAGAGUCAUAGUAGCAUUUUAUAAAGCAUUUAGGAGGCCUAAUCACCUUUAAAUUGUACAAUAUUUCUUGCAUAAAUUCCCUUUCAUAAAUUCUUUCCCAGGCCAGGCACAGUGGCUCAUGCCUAUAAUCCCAGCACUUUGGGAGGCUAAGGUGGCCAGAUCACCUGAGGUCAGGAGUUCAAGACCAGCUUGGACAACUUGGUGAAACCUCAUCUCUACAAAAAUACAAACAUUAGCUGGGCAUGAUGGUGGGUGCCUGUAAUCCCAGUUACUUGGGAGGCUGGGGCAGGAGAAUCGCUUGAACCUGGGAGACAGAGGUUGCAGUGAGCCGAGACUGCACCAUUGCACUCCAGCCUGAGUGACAGAGCAAGACUCCAUCUCAAAAAAAAAAAAAAAAAAAAAAAAAA
RNAcentral lists this long non-coding RNA (1243 nucleotides) under Macaca fascicularis (crab-eating macaque). RNAcentral describes it as "lncRNA (ENSMFAG00000059622.1)". The record is from RNAcentral. Lineage: Eukaryota; Metazoa; Chordata; Mammalia; Primates; Cercopithecidae.